RNAcentral lists this ribosomal RNA (429 nucleotides) under uncultured Bacillus sp. RNAcentral's name for it is "bacterial SSU rRNA". It matches the Rfam family "Bacterial small subunit ribosomal RNA", at positions 511 to 936 of the family's 1533-position model. Lineage: Bacteria; Bacillati; Bacillota; Bacilli; Caryophanales; Bacillaceae. The record is from RNAcentral.
GCAGCCGCGGUAAUACGUAGGUCCGCAAGCGUUGUCCGGAAUUAUUGGGCGUAAAGCGCGCGCAGGCGGUCUCUUAAGUCUGAUGUGAAAGCCCACGGCUCAACCGUGGAGGGUCAUUGGAAACUGGGGGACUUGAGUACUGGAGAGGAGAGUGGAAUUCCAUGUGUAGCGGUGAAAUGCGUAGAUAUAUGGAGGAACACCAGUGGCGAAGGCGGCUCUCUGGCCAGUAACUGACGCUGAGGCGCGAAAGCGUGGGGAGCAAACAGGAUUAGAUACCCUGGUAGUCCACGCCGUAAACGAUGAGUGCUAGGUGUUGGGGGGUUCCACCCUCAGUGCUGACGUUAACACAUUAAGCACUCCGCCUGGGGAGUACGGCCGCAAGGCUGAAACUCAAAGGGAAUUGACGGGGGGGCCCGCACAAGCAGUGGA